AGAGAGAGAGAGAGAGAGAGAGCUAGCCUCCUAUACUAUUUAUAGUACCGGGGUUCUGGUACUAUAGUUUCAUUUUCGAUUUUAGGGUGUUCAAAUUAAUGAUCCACACCGUUAAAACUGAUCUAGAAUAUUUAAAGUUUUUAGAAAUAAAAUUUUAUAUUUUUUUCGACAUAGUUUACUUUAUGAUCAAACCAUUUCAAAAUUGUCAAUUUUCAAUGACUAUUAUGGCGAGUUUGGAGUUUAACGGUAUAGAAGAAUCUAAAUUUUUUCAAAUUUUGAUAGAAAAUAUUUUAAACUAUCUAGAUUAAGAUUAACAUUCUUAAUCUUGAAUUUAAAAGUCCUAUACUCAAAUUUUAAAGAUUAUUCAAUUUUCACUGUCUAUUUUGACAUAAUUUAUUUACUAAGUAAACGAUGUCGAAAAAAAUUAAAAUUUUAUUCCUAAAAAUUUCAUAUACCCUAGAUCAUAUUUAAUGGUGUGGAUUGUUAAUUUGAACACUCUAAGAUUGAAAGCAAGACUAUAGUACCGGAGCUCCUGUACUAUAGAUAGUAUAGUAGCCUAAUUAUAUAUAUAUAUAUAUAUUGCAUGUUGACCAAUCUAUUCU
This 602-nucleotide long non-coding RNA is filed under the name Ananas comosus (pineapple). RNAcentral's name for it is "long non-coding RNA (ACOM_LNC006473)". Lineage: Eukaryota; Viridiplantae; Streptophyta; Magnoliopsida; Poales; Bromeliaceae. The record is from RNAcentral.